UGCCCCAUGGCUGAGUUGGUUACAGCGUCCGACUGUUAUUUCAGCCAAUCGGAAGGUCGAGAGUUCGAGCCUCUCUGGGGCAG
This is a non-coding RNA of Mucidula mucida, 83 nucleotides long. The record is from the annotation of a GenBank genome assembly. NCBI's taxonomy places the organism in Eukaryota, Fungi, Basidiomycota, Agaricomycetes, Agaricales, Physalacriaceae.